UACGGAGGAUGCAAGCGUUAUCCGGAAUGAUUGGGCGUAAAGCGUCCGCAGGUGGCAGUUCAAGUCUGCUGUCAAAGACCGGGGCUUAACUUCGGAAAGGCAGUGGAAACUGAACAGCUAGAGUAUGGUAGGGGCAGAGGGAAUUCCUGGUGUAGCGGUGAAAUGCGUAGAGAUCAGGAAGAACACCGGUGGCGAAGGCGGAUCUCUGGGCCUUGCCUGACGCUGAGGCGCGAAAGCUAGGGGAGCGAACAGG
This 253-nucleotide ribosomal RNA is filed under the name uncultured bacterium. RNAcentral's name for it is "partial 16S ribosomal RNA". It matches the Rfam family "Bacterial small subunit ribosomal RNA", at positions 524 to 776 of the family's 1533-position model. The record is from RNAcentral.